Molecule: long non-coding RNA, 323 nt
Filed under: Rattus norvegicus (Norway rat)
Lineage: Eukaryota; Metazoa; Chordata; Mammalia; Rodentia; Muridae
Description: long non-coding RNA NONRATT018418
Source: RNAcentral
CUGUAGGAGCUUGCUGUGAUCAUAGACUGGGAACCUUGUCCUUUCUCUAUCCUGUAGGAUUCACAGACUAGGAACCUGAACUGAGUUCGUCAGACUUGUAUGUCUCCCUCUCACUGUAGCACAUGGAACCCCACCCCACCCCCGCUACUCUCACUGAAGCACAUGCAUUGGAGCUGCGUUAAGAAGAAAGCCAUCAAUCACCUCACGGCCUUCAUGUGUCCCGAGCUACUCAUUGCUCGUGUGGCUCAUGUCCCUCCAGCUUGUCACCCUAACCACUGAGCAUCACACUGAAGUAAAGAUCAUGCUAUAGUUAAGGCUUAAGU